Molecule: ribosomal RNA, 115 nt
Filed under: Citrobacter youngae
Lineage: Bacteria; Pseudomonadati; Pseudomonadota; Gammaproteobacteria; Enterobacterales; Enterobacteriaceae
Source: RNAcentral
UGGCGGCUGUAGCGCGGUGGUCCCACCUGACCCCAUACCGAACUCAGAAGUGAAACGCCGUAGCGCCGAUGGUAGUGUGGGGUCUCCCCAUGCGAGAGUAGGGAACUGCCAGGCA